Molecule: microRNA precursor, 104 nt
Filed under: Phlebotomus papatasi
Lineage: Eukaryota; Metazoa; Arthropoda; Insecta; Diptera; Psychodidae
Description: mir-10 microRNA precursor family
Source: RNAcentral
UCACAUAGAACCGGAGAUAUGAUUUUUUGGUUAAAACAGAACCGGAGAUAUGAGGGGUCAAAGUUCACAAAAUUCAAAAAAUCAUAUCUCCGGUUCUAUGUGAC